GGCUGCCCAAGGCAGAUGGAGGAAUGGAAACUGAGAAAGCAUCAUAGGCUCAUGUCUAACAACAUGAACAGACUCUGGAACCUCAGAAGUAAAAUGCAAAGGCGAGGACAGCCCAGGAGGAAGCUCCACUCCUGCCUAAGGACCCCAAAGCACUCAAACGCUAUCUUCUGAAGGACUUUGGGAGACAAUAGAGCUAUUGACAGAUCUGAAGUCUACAUCAUGGAACAGAAAUGUGACACUGUGGAUACCAGAGAGCUGGAUUACUUCACCCUUCCUCUGAUGAAUACUGAACAAGAAUUUUCCAG
Molecule: long non-coding RNA, 305 nt
Filed under: Equus caballus (horse)
Lineage: Eukaryota; Metazoa; Chordata; Mammalia; Perissodactyla; Equidae
Description: lncRNA (ENSECAG00000035876.2)
Source: RNAcentral